Molecule: ribosomal RNA, 260 nt
Filed under: uncultured Smithella sp.
Lineage: Bacteria; Pseudomonadati; Thermodesulfobacteriota; Syntrophia; Syntrophales; Smithellaceae
Description: partial 16S ribosomal RNA
Rfam family: Bacterial small subunit ribosomal RNA
Source: RNAcentral
UCAUUCAGUUGGGCACGUUUAGAGAGACUGCCGGUGUUAAGCCGGAGGAAGGUGGGAUGACGUCAAGUCCUCAUGGCCUUUAUGUCUAGGGCUACACACGUGCUACAAUGGGUGGUACAAAGAGCAGCUAACUCGCGAGAGUAUGCAAAUCUCAAAAAGCCAUCCUCAGUUCGGAUUGGAGUCUGCAACUCGACUCCAUGAAGUUGGAAUCGCUAGUAAUCGCGGAUCAGCAUGCCGCGGUGAAUACGUUCCCGGGCCUU